GGAAGAUGCGAGCGUUAUCCGGAUUUAUUGGGUUUAAAGGGAGCGUAGGCGGGCUGUUAAGUCAGCGGUCAAAUGUCAGGGCCCAACCUUGGCAUGCCGUUGAUACUGGCGGCCUUGAGUUCACACAAGGAAGGUGGAAUUCGUCGUGUAGCGGUGAAAUGCUUAGAUAUGACGAAGAACUCCGAUUGCGAAGGCAGCCUUCUGGGGUGUUACUGACGCUGAGGCUCGAAAGUGCGGGAAUCAAACAGGAUUAGAUACCCUGGUAGUCCGCACCGUAAACGAUGAGCGCCCGUCAUUGGCGACACACAGUCAGUGACCAAGGGAAACCGUUAAGCGCUCCACCUGGGGAGU
Molecule: ribosomal RNA, 351 nt
Filed under: uncultured bacterium
Lineage: Bacteria
Description: bacterial SSU rRNA
Rfam family: Bacterial small subunit ribosomal RNA
Source: RNAcentral